RNAcentral lists this ribosomal RNA (580 nucleotides) under uncultured bacterium. RNAcentral describes it as "partial 16S ribosomal RNA". It matches the Rfam family "Bacterial small subunit ribosomal RNA", at positions 355 to 932 of the family's 1533-position model. The record is from RNAcentral.
UGGGGAAUUUUGGACAAUGGGCGAAAGCCUGAUCCAGCAAUGCCGCGUGUGUGAAGAAGGCCUUCGGGUUGUAAAGCACUUUUGUCCGGAAAGAAAUCCUUGGCUCUAAUACAGUCGGGGGAUGACGGUACCGGAAGAAUAAGCACCGGCUAACUACGUGCCAGCAGCCGCGGUAAUACGUAGGGUGCAAGCGUUAAUCGGAAUUACUGGGCGUAAAGCGUGCGCAGGCGGUUUGCUAAGACCGAUGUGAAAUCCCCGGGCUCAACCUGGGAACUGCAUUGGUGACUGGCAGGCUAGAGUAUGGCAGAGGGGGGUAGAAUUCCACGUGUAGCAGUGAAAUGCGUAGAGAUGUGGAGGAAUACCGAUGGCGAAGGCAGCCCCCUGGGCCAAUACUGACGCUCAUGCACGGAAGCGUGGGGAGCAAACAGGAUUAGAUACCCCUGGUAGUCCACGCCCUAAACGAUGUCAACUAGUUGUUGGGGAUUCAUUUCCUUAGUAACGUAGCUAACGCGUGAAGUUGACCGCCUGGGGAGUACGGUCGCAAGAUUAAAACUCAAAUGAAUUGACGGGGUCAUAGCUG